Molecule: long non-coding RNA, 185 nt
Organism: Helianthus annuus (common sunflower)
Lineage: Eukaryota; Viridiplantae; Streptophyta; Magnoliopsida; Asterales; Asteraceae
Exons: 2
Source: RefSeq, a predicted model, not a curated record
UUGGUGUAUCUGGAAAGGGAGAAAUGAAUUGGUUUUCAAGCAGAUUCGACGAAGCCCGCAAGAUAUUUUAGGGGAGGUAAAGUCGAGGGGUUAUGGGUGGAUUAAAAAUAGAUCUUCUUGUAUAGAUAUUAGUUGGAUGGAUUGGUGUAAAUACCCGAUGUAUAUGCUGUAAUUGUUUGCCCUUU